CAUGGAGGUUUGUUUCAUUCCGUGGAUCCGCGCCUGACAGUCAUCUCAGUCGGUUCUGACUGAGCGGAAUGUUUAUGAGGAAGGGAGAGGGGGCGUCACCGAGCGGCCGCCUCCUCAGGCCCCGCUCGGGGGUCGGACCCACAGCGCGGCCGGUGCCUGACGGGACGGACGCUCCCACUGAGCCACACCGGCCGGGCCGAAUCGAUCAAUUAAUGGAACAGAAUCGGAGGUGCAGGAAGAGACCCAAAUCCAACAAUCAAUUUUGUCGGAUAAACAUGUCUCGGAUCAUUAGAAAAAUGUGCGUGAAAUAAUAAAUGGAGCUGGGCCGUGAGACCAGCAGCAGGUCCCGGAGAAAGUCCUGCAGCC
Long non-coding RNA from Myotis brandtii (Brandt's bat), 366 nucleotides. RefSeq lists it as uncharacterized. The record is from RefSeq and is a predicted model, not a curated record. NCBI's taxonomy places the organism in Eukaryota, Metazoa, Chordata, Mammalia, Chiroptera, Vespertilionidae. The transcript is spliced from 2 exons.